ACGGAAGGCAGCAGUGGGGAAUAUUGGGCAAUGGGGGCAACCCUGACCCAGCAACGCCGCGUAUAGGAAGAAGGUCUUCGGAUUGUAAACUUCUUUUAUGAGGGACGAAGGACGUGACGGUACCUCAUGAAUAAGCCACGGCUAACUACGUGCCAGCAGCCGCGGUAAUACGUAGGUGGCAAGCGUUAUCCGGAUUUACUGGGUGUAAAGGGCGCGUAGGCGGGGAUGCAAGUCAGGUGUGAAGACUAUGGGCUUAACCCAUAAACUGCAUUUGAAACUGUAUCUCUUGAGUGCUGGAGAGGUAGACGGAAUUCCUUGUGUAGCGGUGAAGUGCGUAGAUAUAAGGAAGAACACCAGUGGCGAAGGCGGUCUACUGGACAGUAACUGACGCUGAGGCGCGAAAGCGUGGGGAGCAAACAGGAUUAGAUACCCUGGUA
This 437-nucleotide ribosomal RNA is filed under the name uncultured Oscillospiraceae bacterium. RNAcentral's name for it is "partial 16S ribosomal RNA". It matches the Rfam family "Bacterial small subunit ribosomal RNA", at positions 341 to 792 of the family's 1533-position model. The record is from RNAcentral. Lineage: Bacteria; Bacillati; Bacillota; Clostridia; Eubacteriales; Oscillospiraceae.